ACGAACGCUGGCGGCAUGCCUCACACAUGCAAGUCGAACGAGACCUUCGGGUCUAGUGGCGCACGGGUGCGUAACGCGUGGGAACCUGCCCUUAGGUUCGGAAUAACUCCCCGAAAGGGGUGCUAAUACCGGAUAAUGUCUUCGGACCAAAGAUUUAUCGCCUUUGGAUGGGCCCGCGUUGGAUUAGCUAGUUGGUAGGGUAAAAGCCUACCAAGGCGACGAUCCAUAGCUGGUCUGAGAGGAUGAUCAGCCACACUGGGACUGAGACACGGCCCAGACUCCUACGGGAGGCAGCAGUGGGGAAUAUUGGACAAUGGGCGAAAGCCUGAUCCAGCAAUGCCGUGUGAGUGAUGAAGGCCUUAGGGUUGUAAAGCUCUUUUACCCGGGAUGAUAAUGACAGUACCGGGAGAAUAAGCUCCGGCUAACUCCGUG
Molecule: ribosomal RNA, 432 nt
Filed under: uncultured bacterium
Lineage: Bacteria
Description: partial 16S ribosomal RNA
Rfam family: Bacterial small subunit ribosomal RNA
Source: RNAcentral